Mustela putorius furo (domestic ferret) is the source of this 1839-nucleotide long non-coding RNA. NCBI's taxonomy places the organism in Eukaryota, Metazoa, Chordata, Mammalia, Carnivora, Mustelidae. The record is from Ensembl.
GGGAGCUUGGUUACCUAGCAACGGGGAGUCUGCGCGGAGGACGCGGUUCCCGGGCCUUGGGCGGGGCUGCUGCGGAGUUUACCGGGAGGCCCAAAGUGAAGGAAAGCGGCGAACCCGCAGCGUUCCCGGAACCGGACAGUUGCCACAUCCUGCGUCUGCACUUCCGAGGAGAGGGAGUCAAGCCCGCAGUAACUCGGGGCGGCUCGUCACCCCCUGAACCGCUAUGAGUGCCCGGGGCUGUUUCUCUCGCGCUUCAUAGUUGUCUGAGUCGGCUCAGCUCGCGGGGAGACCCCUUGGAGCAACCAUUUGUCUUUAUUAGUGGAGUUAUAUGCAGUUAAUAUACCUGCCUUCAGUGUGUGCAGAACAUUUUCCUUGUGGAAGUCUGGUGCGGUGGAAAUGCUGGAGAGAUCAGAAGUAGGCAGAGCACCCGGCAGACAGAAAGGAGGAAGCAGGCUCCCCACCAAGCAGAGAGCCCAAUGCUGGGUUCCAUUCCAGGACCCUGAGAUCAUGACCAGAGCUGAAGGCAGAGGCUUAACCCACUGAGCCACCCAGGCGCCCCUCGCUCCUGCAUUCUAACAACGUGCUUGCAUGACCUUGAAAAUGUGCAGCUCAGCUCGAGGUCUGGGGAAUGUCAAGAGGAGAGGGCCCCAUGGCAAAAUGCCCCACUAUGCUCUGAAUCCACUACCACUAUGCCAAAGACACACUUCACCACACAUGGAGGAAGCGCUCUGUGAUUAUGCCAUAGAUGUCCUUUCUCAGGCUGUGUCCGUGCCACAGAAUCACACAGAGGGGAUGACUGUGCUCACUGCUGCCAUUGCUUGAAAUCGAAAGUGGGCAGAGGAAAGGUUGUUAUCUGAUGCUGUGGGCCAGUUCUCUGAGGAGGAGGCCAGGCCCCGAAGGGAAAGAGACAUAGCCAAGUGUGACAUGGAGGCUGCCGAGCUGGCUGGCUUGAAGGACCCACGGAGAAGGUGAUGAUGAGAGCCUGCAGGCACGAUUGGAAAAUAACACAGUGAGACUCCCAGGACUUUGUAAUAUCCCUGUGGGGAGCGCCCUGGGGACCCCUGCAUCUGAGAGCCUGGGAUCUCCAGGGAAUUUAGACUGAAGUAGAUAAUACAUUAACUUAGCAAAUGAGAUAAUGAAUUUCUACAACUGAAUCUGUGGACUGAGACUUACACAUAUGCAGGGCUCGUAAAGUACGUGAACUAAGGCAAAUGACUGAGGGUUUCCAGGUGGCGGUGUUCCACCAUACAAAAAGCUGAAGGGUGAAGGACAUGGCAUUGAAAAAUAUCUCAGGCGCUAUGGUAACUGGAGUGUGUGUGAGUGUGCACACACGUGUAAAAUUUCAAGUCACACUGAGCACCUACUAUGUGUCAGGCUUGAUGUUGGGAACACAGUGAUGGGAGGAAUAAGCCUGAUUCCUUGGUGGUCAGAGUCUUAGUUGCGUGAGCACGUGAUUACCAAUGAAAGGUGAGCUCUCUGCUGGGAGGAGUACUGGGGCCGCGGGGAGCCUCUAGAAGGGGUGCCUGUCCACAUCUGGAGUCAUGCAGAGCCGUCGGAUCCAAGUUGGAAAAUAAAGCCAGUGGAUAUUUGCAGAGCAAAGUAGGGGAGGAGGUUUGGUGGGGGCAAGAACUGUGGUAGGCUGAAGGAACAGCAUAUUUAGCAGAAGGAACAGCAUAUUCAGCUCAAGGAACAGCAUAUUCCUGAGUGGAGAGAAAGCAUGGUAAGUCACAGGAACCAAGGGGAUAAUGCGCAGGUGAGACUUACACACUGACAUGGCAAGUGGCAACCAUGGGAGAUGAGGCUGGAGAACUGAGCAGCAUAAAGCCACUUAGAUGCCAC